This 865-nucleotide ribosomal RNA is filed under the name uncultured Actinomycetes bacterium. RNAcentral describes it as "bacterial SSU rRNA". It matches the Rfam family "Bacterial small subunit ribosomal RNA", at positions 56 to 929 of the family's 1533-position model. Lineage: Bacteria; Bacillati; Actinomycetota; Actinomycetes. The record is from RNAcentral.
UGCAAGUCGAACGAUGAAGGCGGGAGCUUGCUCCUGCUGGAUUAGUGGCGAACGGGUGAGUAACACGUGAGUAACCUGCCCUUGACUCUGGGAUAAGCGUUGGAAACGACGUCUAAUACCGGAUACGAGCUAGGACCGCAUGGUCACUAGCUGGAAAGAACUUCGGUCAAGGAUGGACUCGCGGCCUAUCAGCUAGUUGGUGAGGUAAUGGCCCACCAAGGCGACGACGGGUAGCCGGCCUGAGAGGGUGACCGGCCACACUGGGACUGAGACACGGCCCAGACUCCUACGGGAGGCAGCAGUGGGGAAUAUUGCACAAUGGGCGCAAGCCUGAUGCAGCAACGCCGCGUGAGGGACGACGGCCUUCGGGUUGUAAACCUCUUUUAGCAGGGAAGAAGCGAAAGUGACGGUACCUGCAGAAAAAGCACCGGCUAACUACGUGCCAGCAGCCGCGGUAAUACGUAGGGUGCAAGCGUUGUCCGGAAUUAUUGGGCGUAAAGAGCUCGUAGGCGGUUUGUCGCGUCUGCUGUGAAAAUCCGAGGCUCAACCUCGGACCUGCAGUGGGUACGGGCAAACUAGAGUGCGGUAGGGGAGAUUGGAAUUCCUGGUGUAGCGGUGGAAUGCGCAGAUAUCAGGAGGAACACCAAUGGCGAAGGCAGAUCUCUGGGCCGUAACUGACGCUGAGGAGCGAAAGCGUGGGGAGCGAACAGGAUUAGAUACCCUGGUAGUCCACGCCGUAAACGGUGGGAACUAGAUGUGGGGUCCGUUCCACGGAUUCCGUGUCGCAGCUAACGCAUUAAGUUCCCCGCCUGGGGAGUACGGCCGCAAGGCUAAACUCAAAGGAAUUGACGGGGGCCCGCACAAG